Molecule: RNA transcript, 4255 nt
Organism: Capsicum annuum
Lineage: Eukaryota; Viridiplantae; Streptophyta; Magnoliopsida; Solanales; Solanaceae
Gene name: NADH-ubiquinone oxidoreductase chain 4
Exons: 4
Source: RefSeq, a predicted model, not a curated record
GCUGAUAGACCCCUAUUGUAUUGGAAUUAGGCGCCCAUCUUUUUACUGUUGUCAAUGAAUCUCUUCCAUGUUCGAUUCUACUCUAUGUUAGAACAUUUCUGUGAAUGCUAUUCUGAUCUAAGUGGUCUUAUUCUUUGUCCCGUGCUAGGAAGCAUUACUCCUCUUUUCAUUCCAAAUUCAAGAAUACGACCGAUACGAUUAAUUGGUCUGUGCGCCUCUCUUAUUACUUUUUUGUAUCCCCCUGUUCUUCGGAUACAAUUCGAUCCUUCUACGGCCAAAUCUCAAUUUGUGGAAAGCCUUCGAUGGCUUCCUUAUGAAAACAUCAAUUUUUAUUUGGGUAUAGACGGUAUCUCUUUAUUCUUCGUGAUAUUGACCACAUUUCUGAUCCCUAUUUGCAUUUUAGUGGGUUGGUCUGGUAUGAGAAGUUAUGGGAAAGAGUAUAUUACAGCAUUUCUAAUUCGUGAAUUUAUAAUGAUCGCCGUGUUCUGCAUGCUGGAUCUUCUACUAUUCUAUGUUCUUCCUGAAAGUGUGCUAAUCCCUAUGUUCAUUAUUAUAGGGGUAUGGGGUUCGAGACAAAGAAAGAUCAAGGCAGCAUAUCAGUUGUUCCUUUAUACUUUACUUGGAUCUGUUUUUAUGCUAUUAGCUAUUCUGUUGAUUCUUCUCCAAACAGGAACAACCGAUUUACAAAUCUCAUUAACCACAGAAUUUAGUGAGCGGCGCCAAAUCUUUCUAUGGAUUGCUUCUUUCGCCUCUUUCGCCGUCAAAGUGCCUAUGGUACCAGUUCAUAUUUGGUUACCCGAAGCUCAUGUAGAGGCACCUACGGCAGGAUCCGUCAUCUUGGCAGGAAUUGCUUUAAAAUUGGGAACCUACGGGUUUUUAAGAUUUUCAAUACCCAUGUUUCCCGAAGCGACACUUUGUUCCACUCCUUUCAUUUAUACUUUAAGCGCGAUUGCUAUAAUAUAUACUUCCUCGACCACUUUAAGGCAGAUCGAUCUUAAGAAGAUCAUUGCUUACUCCUCAGUAGCUCAUAUGAAUCUGGUGACUAUUGGUAUGUUUAGUCCGAACAUACAGGGAAUUGGAGGUAGCAUUCUACCGAUGUCAAGUCAUGGACUGGUUUCUUCAGCCCUUUUUCUAUGUGUUGGUGUUCUAUAUGACCGACAUAAGACUCGACUUGUUAGAUAUUACGGAGGUUCAGUGAGCACCAUGCCGAAUCUCUCUACCAUUUUCUUCUCUUCCACUUUGGCCAAUAUGAGUUCACCUGGUACUAGCAGCUUUAUCGGGGAAUUUCUCAUCUUAGUAGGAGCUUUCCAAAGAAAUAGCUUAGUAGCCACAUUAGCAGCGCUUGGGAUGAUUUUAGGCGCGGCCUAUUCCCUUUGGCUAUAUAAUCGUGCGGUUUCUGGGAAUUUAAAACCCGAUUUCCUCCAUAAAUUCUCCGAUCCAAAUGGCAGAGAAGUUUCCAUAUUUAUACCUUUUCUUGUUGGAGGGGCGACCGUACGUUAAACUACCAAACAAACUAGGGUAAACCAAUGUGAUCAUGACAUUGUAGGUGCUUGCGAUGGGACGGAUGCGACUUCCCUCAGUUGGUUUGGGUGGCAUAGCCCGUUGCAUAAGUCCCCCCCUUUUUUUAUCCAUUUCUUUAGUCUUUAGGGAGCCAAAGCUUGACUUUACUAAACUAAUAAAUAAGGCUCGCGCUAGGCGCUUACCUUUUUUGGCUGUAGGGUUGGGGUGGCUUGCUGGGUGAGACUGAUAGAAAGAAAGGACGGGGGGCAACCAUGCAUGGUACUUCUCGACCCUGUCUCCGAGGGACAGUUGAACUAGCGACUCAUGAAUGCUGCCGGGUUGGACGAGCCAAUAACUCGAAGGCGUUCGGUCUGUUUUUUGAGCAAGAAUCACAGCCUUACCUUAUCUUCACCAUGAUACGGACUCCAAGUUCUUAUGGCAGAGCACGAGGAGAUUUAUCAUCAAUAUGAUGAUUGGAGUGGAAACCAGAAGCACGACUGGGGUCCUCGUGGUCCAAGAUAAUCAAACCAUCAAUAACAGUAACGUAAGCAUGAGACUUUUUGGUAGUACCGGUGAACCAGAUGGCCGCGGCGAUGGAAUCUGGGACGGAGGACUUGUAGUAUCUCUCUAGAUCUGGCAAAAGCGAAAGACCCCCUAACAUAAUUCGAAUGGAGGCUGACCGCUGAGCCCACUCUGGCCUGGCGGGGCGGGCCCCUGUGGUUGCGAGCUGGAGCUGCCAUAGCUUAUGGAUAUAGCAAUGGGAGGGCCCCAGCAGAGAGAAAAGUCAGGAUAACGAGCGCUCCGCCCGCCAAGCGGGCGGCAGGAGCAGCGGGCAAGUGCUUGGUAAGCCAACAGCCCAGUGAACCGGGCGGGGCACUCGAAGAAAGGGGGGCACACUGAGCAAGUACGAGAAAUUGGCCCCGCUCCGCUUUCUUAAAAGCAAGGACCACUACGGGAGGUCAAACCAAGGAUCUAUGGAAGUGGGGGCUCGUCCCCGGUCAAUAUUGGAUCAAACAAUAGGGGGCCGUAGCACUGACCUCUUUUUUUUAUUGAUUCAAUACAAUAGGGGAAAAGAUCGUACAGUUCCCUACCGAGACAAACUCUCAACGGAUCCUCCGCGCGCUGGGAAUACCUCUUCCGUGCGUCUUUCUCGUGGCGGGAACAGAACAACAGGGAAAGACCCGGCCCAGGGCGAGCUUUAUUUAUUGUUGAGAGAAUGGGGAGUGAAUCGAAUUCCGUUUCCGUUCUUUGGGGGCUUUCGGGCCCCUCUCGAUCUUUUUCGUAGUUGAGAAGGGGGAAGGAGUCUAAAUCAAUGGACAUUAAUGAACCAUCAUUGAUGGACGUUGCACAUGACACGAUCAAUUCGACUCAAGGUCCGGCGCUAAUAGAAGUUGCUUACUUUCCUAGUAGCGAAGGAAAGGAGCUGAAAGCCACUGUAAGGAGAGGGCAGGGCUUUUUUCGUAGUAAUAGUGGGCCGGUCUCAUGAGAUCUAUGCCGGCCGUCGGAAUCAAACGAAGGUCGAAGGACCAUUCGAUUCAUUAAGGGGCAUAGCGGCGCCCUCGCCCGGCGCCAUUUCCGGACCUAGCAGCAGACGGGCGGGCCGUGCCUGAAUUCAGACCGGACCAGACUCUUCUUUGUUUGAGCUGCUCCCGGGCACGCAGACCGAAGAUCUCACUUGUCCUGGACAAGUACGUAGAGAUCUUCGUGGGACCGUGGAGGGAGUCUCAAUCGAUCUUUUCUAGGAUUCCUUAUCACGCCACACAUGGAGAUCUUUCCAUUGAUAGAUCAGAGGGUCCUCCCUUGAACAAAUUCUUAAAGGUUAGGUUACUACCUGCUUCUACGGAAGAGGUUUACUUUGUACCGCCCGGAGGUCAUAUAGAUCGGAAUCCGGAGUGAUAAGAACGAAAGGGUUGGUGUGGCCACAGCUACAACUACUGGCGCUUCAAAAGGCUUAGAUUCUAAGGGCGCUACUGAAAGCCUUUUUUUAGGUCCUGUAAUAGGGAGGUGUAAGCCUCGAAAGCCUUUGGUACUUCGGUAGGGCGAGCAGCCCUUAAACCAAAAAAAAGGGAGUCUCUGACUUCCUUCCCCUAUUUUUUUUUAUGCAUUUCAUUCUCUAUUUGGCCCGCUUCAAACAAAAUGAGAAAAAAGGGUCCGGUCAAUAGCAUAGCUAUUUCUUUCCCCGGUCUCCUUUCGAAGGAGAGGCCUUCACAUUCCUAAUCCGGUAGGGUCGGACGGCUUUCUUUGCCCCAGCUUGGCGAAUCGCAUCCCCGCACAACGACAUUCUUUGUUUGUGCGCCCCUUACCGUUCUCGCUCAGUCUUUCAACGGCUGGGAAGGCAGUCGUAGAAACGAAGCCUAUCGCCACGCCGACCAUCAAAUAGGAGAUUGGGCCCCUUCUCAAAGAUUUGAUGGAAUGGCCCACCCCACCCAAGAGCGCUUAUGUCAUAGGGGAACUCAUGGCUGGAAACAAUCCUUAUGGUUUGUUUUGAUAUCCGGUAGGAAUAAUAAAAAAAAAGUCCAGGUUGGUUGGUGAGCCUAGUGAUAGGAGACUAUCUAGCUUGGUUCGGAGAGCACUUGUUGGGAACAAUAUUUUUUGGUUGCUAAAUGUUACGGCCUAAAUGCUGAACUAUUGACCCUACUUGUUCGGAUGGGUGUUCACCCCAAAGUGUUCCCGGACCGCAUGCAUACAUCCGUAAGUAACUUAGUGCAACAUGGAAAAUUUCAUUGAGAGGAAUCAGCAAAGAAAAGAAAAACGG